CCUACGGGUGGCAGCAGUGAGGAAUAUUGGUCAAUGGUCGGGAGACUGAACCAGCCAAGCCGCGUGAAGGAUGAAUGUACUACGGAUUGUAAACCUCUUUUAUCAAGGAACAAAGUCAGGCACGUGUGCCUGUUUGUAUGUACUUUAUGAAUAAGCAUCGGCUAACUCCGUGCCAGCAGCCGCGGUAAUACGGAGGAUGCGAGCGUUAUCCGGAUUUAUUGGGUUUAAAGGGUGCGUAGGGGGAUUGCUCAGUCAGUGGUAAAAUCGCGGGGCUCACCCUAACUCCGCAGUUGAAACUGGCAGUCGUGAGUGGGGGAGAGGUAGGCGGAAUGCGUGGUGUAGCGGUGAAAUGCUUAGAUAUCACGCAGAACUCCGAUUGCGAAGGCAGCAUACCGGCGCCCCACUGACGCUGAUGCACGAAAGCGUGGGUAUCGAACAGGAUUAGAUACCCUGGUAGUC
This 459-nucleotide ribosomal RNA is filed under the name uncultured bacterium. Its description in RNAcentral is "partial 16S ribosomal RNA". It matches the Rfam family "Bacterial small subunit ribosomal RNA", at positions 338 to 795 of the family's 1533-position model. The record is from RNAcentral.